This 48-nucleotide non-coding RNA is filed under the name Oceanococcus atlanticus. Its description in RNAcentral is "Guanidine-II sequence". It matches the Rfam family "Guanidine-II riboswitch aptamer (mini-ykkC)". From Rfam's summary of the family: Simpler in structure and has fewer highly conserved nucleotide positions than the ykkC-yxkD leader. Despite this each of its two stem-loop structures directly bind free guanidine. Therefore, mini-ykkC RNA motif represents a distinct class of guanidine-sensing RNAs. The record is from Rfam by way of RNAcentral. Lineage: Bacteria; Pseudomonadati; Pseudomonadota; Gammaproteobacteria; Chromatiales; Oceanococcaceae.
CGCUCAGGACGACCUGAGCGUGGCCUGGUAGUCGCGGGGACGACCCUG